Molecule: ribosomal RNA, 220 nt
Filed under: uncultured bacterium
Lineage: Bacteria
Description: partial 16S ribosomal RNA
Rfam family: Bacterial small subunit ribosomal RNA
Source: RNAcentral
CGGCAGACGGGUGAGUAACGCGUGGGAACAUACCUUUUGGUUCGGAACAACACAGGGAAACUUGUGCUAAUACCGGAUGAGCCCUUACGGGAAAGAUUUAUCGCCGAAAGAUUGGCCCGCGUCUGAUUAGCUAGUUGGCGAGGUAACGGCUCACCAAGGCGACGAUCAGUAGCUGGUCUGAGAGGAUGAUCAGCCACAUUGGGACUGAGACACGGCCCAG